RNAcentral lists this ribosomal RNA (386 nucleotides) under uncultured bacterium. Its description in RNAcentral is "bacterial SSU rRNA". It matches the Rfam family "Bacterial small subunit ribosomal RNA", at positions 29 to 417 of the family's 1533-position model. The record is from RNAcentral.
AUUGAACGCUGGCGGCAUGCCUUACACAUGCAAGUCGAACGGCAGCACGGGGGCAACCCUGGUGGCGAGUGGCGAACGGGUGAGUAACACAUCGGAACGUGCCCAGUAGUGGGGGAUAGCUCGGCGAAAGCCGGAUUAAUACCGCAUACGACCUACGGGUGAAAGCGGGGGAUCGCAAGACCUCGCGCUAUCGGAGCGGCCGAUGUCAGAUUAGGUUGUUGGUGGGGUAAAGGCCACCAAGCCGACGAUCUGUAGCUGGUCUGAGAGGACGACCAGCCACACUGGGACUGAGACACGGCCCAGACUCCUACGGGAGGCAGCAGUGGGGAAUUUUGGACAAUGGGCGCAAGCCUGAUCCAGCCAUGCCGCGUGCGGGAAGAAGGCCU